RNAcentral lists this ribosomal RNA (795 nucleotides) under uncultured bacterium. RNAcentral's name for it is "bacterial SSU rRNA". It matches the Rfam family "Bacterial small subunit ribosomal RNA", at positions 530 to 1326 of the family's 1533-position model. The record is from RNAcentral.
GGCAGCGAGCGUUGUUCGGAAUUACUGGGCGUAAAGAGUGUGUAGGCGGUGCUCCAAGUCUGGUGUGAAAUCUCCCGGCUCAACUGGGAGGGUGCGCCGGAAACUGGAGUGCUCGAGUGUGGGAGAGGAAAGCGGAAUUCCUGGUGUAGCGGUGAAAUGCGUAGAUAUCAGGAGGAACACCUGCGGUGUAGACAGCUUUCUGGACCACGACUGACGCUGAGACACGAAAGCGUGGGUAGCAAACAGGAUUAGAUACCCUGGUAGUCCACGCCCUAAACGAUGCAUACUUGGUGUGAGUCAUUCAUUUGAUUCGUGCCGGAGCUAACGCGUUAAGUAUGCCGCCUGGGGAGUACGGUCGCAAGGCUGAAACUCGAAGGAAUUGACGGGGGCCCGCACAAGCGGUGGAGCAUGUGGUUCAAUUCGACGCAACGCGAAGAACCUUACCUGGGCUCGAACGGCUUAAGACAGGGGUGGAAACACCCUCUCCCCUUAAAAGGCUUGAGUCGAGGUGCUGCAUGGCUGUCGUCAGCUCGUGUCGUGAGAUGUUGGGUUAAGUCCCGCAACGAGCGCAACCCUUGUCCUGUGUUGCCACUCCGUAAGGAAGCACUCGCAGGAGACCGCCAGCGAUAAGCUGGAGGAAGGUGGGGAUGAUGUCAAGUCAUCAUGGCCUUUAUGUCCAGGGCUACACACGUGCUACAAUGGCCGGUACAAAGCGCUGCAAACCCGCGAGGGGAAGCUAAUCGCAAAAAACCGGUCUCAGUUCGGAUCGCAGGCUGCAACUCGCCUGCGUGAAGA